RNAcentral lists this long non-coding RNA (311 nucleotides) under Hordeum vulgare. RNAcentral's name for it is "long non-coding RNA (HVUL_LNC018514)". The record is from RNAcentral. Lineage: Eukaryota; Viridiplantae; Streptophyta; Magnoliopsida; Poales; Poaceae.
CACAUGUAAGUUAGAGAGGUAGGUGGGAGAGAGUUUUUUUUCCUUUUUUUUCUUAUUUAUACCUCAAGUGUAAGUGUUACACUAACGUGUGAGAGAUUUGUUUUCAUUUUUACAAAGUAGGCCCCACGUAUAAGUGACAUAUGCACACAAGGGCAACUAUGUCUAAAGAACAGAUCAUUAACACUUAAAGGUCGUUGACCGGACAGAAACGGCACAGAAGGGUAUUUCCAUAAGGGCUUCUAAUGUAAGAGGGGCAAAGUUGAGCAUUGUUUUAUUUUAGGGGUAAAGAUGAGGUCGGGCCAAAGUUAGGG